This is a non-coding RNA of Acanthosepion pharaonis, 112 nucleotides long. The record is from the annotation of a GenBank genome assembly. NCBI's taxonomy places the organism in Eukaryota, Metazoa, Mollusca, Cephalopoda, Sepiida, Sepiidae.
ACAGCCAUAUCACAUUAAAAUACUGGUUCUCAUAAGAUCACUAAAGUUAAGCAACAUUGAGUCUGGUCAGUACCUAGAUGGGUGGCUACUUGGGAACACCAAGUACUGUAAG